Molecule: transfer RNA, 85 nt
Filed under: Felis catus (domestic cat)
Lineage: Eukaryota; Metazoa; Chordata; Mammalia; Carnivora; Felidae
Rfam family: tRNA
About the family: Transfer RNA (tRNA) molecules are approximately 80 nucleotides in length. Their secondary structure includes four short double-helical elements and three loops (D, anti-codon, and T loops).
Source: Rfam by way of RNAcentral
GCCUGGGUGGCUCAGUCAGUUGAGCGUCUGACUUCGGCUCAGGUCAUGAUCUCAUGGUUCAUGAGUUCAAGCCCCACCUUGGGCU